This 81-nucleotide transfer RNA is filed under the name Asterophora parasitica. It matches the Rfam family "tRNA". From Rfam's summary of the family: Transfer RNA (tRNA) molecules are approximately 80 nucleotides in length. The record is from Rfam by way of RNAcentral. Lineage: Eukaryota; Fungi; Basidiomycota; Agaricomycetes; Agaricales; Lyophyllaceae.
GGCGCUGUAGUGUAGCGGUUAUCACUCGAGAUUCUGAUGUCCCGAAUUCUCGUAACCCAGGUUCGAUUCCUGGCAGUGCCU